RNAcentral lists this ribosomal RNA (446 nucleotides) under uncultured bacterium. Its description in RNAcentral is "bacterial SSU rRNA". It matches the Rfam family "Bacterial small subunit ribosomal RNA", at positions 217 to 662 of the family's 1533-position model. The record is from RNAcentral.
GGUAUGGGAUGAGCUUGCGUCCGAUUAGCUAGUUGGCGGGGCAACGGCCCACCAAGGCGACGAUCGGUAGCCGGCCUGAGAGGGUGAUCGGCCACAUUGGGACUGAGAUACGGCCCAGACUCCUACGGGAGGCAGCAGUAGGGAAUAUUGCACAAUGGGGGGAACCCUGAUGCUGCAACGCCACGUGUGGGAAGAAGCAUUUCGGUGUGUAAACCACUGUCGUGAGGGAAUAAGGCCUGUUCUAGGACAGGAUUGAAUGUACCUCGAAAGGAAGCACCGGCAAACUUCGUGCCAGCAGCCGCGGUAAUACGAGGGGUGCAAGCGUUGUUCGGAAUCACUGGGCGUAAAGGGAGCGUAGGCGGAGAUUCAAGCGGAUUGUACAAUCCCGGGGCCCAACCCCGGACCUGCAGUCCGAACUGGAUCUCUUGGAUAGUUCAGGGGCAGGC